GCCCAGAUAGCUCAGUUGGUAGAGCAGAGGAUUGAAAAUCCUCGUGUCGGUGGUUCGAUUCCGCCUCUGGGCA
This 73-nucleotide transfer RNA is filed under the name Pseudidiomarina taiwanensis. It matches the Rfam family "tRNA". Rfam says of the family: Transfer RNA (tRNA) molecules are approximately 80 nucleotides in length. Their secondary structure includes four short double-helical elements and three loops (D, anti-codon, and T loops). The record is from Rfam by way of RNAcentral. RNAcentral also lists the same sequence under 1 other name. Lineage: Bacteria; Pseudomonadati; Pseudomonadota; Gammaproteobacteria; Alteromonadales; Idiomarinaceae.